Long non-coding RNA from Onychostoma macrolepis, 806 nucleotides. RefSeq lists it as uncharacterized. Lineage: Eukaryota; Metazoa; Chordata; Actinopteri; Cypriniformes; Cyprinidae. The record is from RefSeq and is a predicted model, not a curated record. The transcript has 4 exons.
GCUGAACACAUUUUGCUGUGUCCUGCUUGGGAAAUGUGUCAUUUCAAGCCCAGUCUAAAGUAAGGAGUUGGUGUUCUUUGCAGAGAUGUUACAUAACUGAAUUGAACAGCUGGUUGUUAAUGCAGUGAUGUCUUUUUCCUUUGGACACUGACAGCUCGUUCGAGAUGUCCGUUUUUCCUCACCAGGUGUGUCUGCAAAGGAAGUGAGAACCAGAAGGCAUGAAUAUUCCAUCUGGAGUGAAAUAAGGUGAUAGUGUUCCUACACACACAGUGAAUACACUCGUGGCAUAAGCAGGCAUGCUGUGAGCUGUCUUAAGGAAGUGUUGUCUGUAAGCUUGCCAAACAGGGUCAUUCCAUGUUUUUCAGCAUCUGUCUAGCAGGCGCAUGUCAGAUUCUCCACGCAGUGAGGGAAUUUAAAUAUCAAAGCAUCAUCCUGGGUAAAGUCACAUACUCCUGAACCUUUCAUGAACAUGCUCUGAUAUUUCUCUCUCUCUAUUCACACACACACAUACACUAUUCGGUUGAAAGUUGCUUUAUUGUCAUUACUGCAAAAGAGGAUAAUUUUGCCAUUGUUGUAAUGUUGCCAAGAUUAGUGUCUACAACAAUAAUCAUGCAAAUGUGUUUUUUUGUUUGUUUUUUUGUUUUUUGAGAUGGCUAUUUUCAGAACAUUUUCAGAAGAGACUGAAAAACUAAAAUGUCCAAGUCAGUUGUUAAAAUAUUAUAAGUCACAUCUUGGGAGAUGUUCUUCACUUAAUAUAAGCUUUUCAAUUUCUAUUUUUCUCUCUCGUUUUUGAGUUUACUGCUCAA